Molecule: ribosomal RNA, 254 nt
Filed under: uncultured bacterium
Lineage: Bacteria
Description: partial 16S ribosomal RNA
Rfam family: Bacterial small subunit ribosomal RNA
Source: RNAcentral
UACGGGGGGGGCAAGCGUUGUUCGGAAUUACUGGGCGUAAAGGGCUCGUAGGCGGCCAACUAAGUCGGACGUGAAAUCCCUCGGCUUAACCGGGGAACUGCGUCCGAUACUGGAUGGCUUGAGUGUGGGAGAGGGAUGCGGAAUUCCAGGUGUAGCGGUGAAAUGCGUAGAUAUCUGGAGGAACACCGGUGGCGAAGGCGGCAUCCUGGACUACUACUGACGCUGAGGGAGCGAAAGCCAGGGGAGCAGACGGG